This 69-nucleotide antisense RNA is filed under the name Streptomyces sp. NRRL B-3648. RNAcentral describes it as "ASpks TB sRNA". It matches the Rfam family "ASpks TB sRNA". The record is from Rfam by way of RNAcentral. Lineage: Bacteria; Bacillati; Actinomycetota; Actinomycetes; Kitasatosporales; Streptomycetaceae.
CUUCAACGAGCCCAGCCAGAGCGGGCGUUCGCGGUCCUGGCCGUAGGUGGUGAGGAGGGCCUGGGCCUC